UAGGUGUUGGGCGGGCUUUGAGCCCGCCCAGUGCCGCAGGGAAGCCGUUAAGCCCGCCGCCUGGGGAGUACGGCCGCAAGGCUGAAACUUAAAGGAAUUGGCGGGGGAGCACCACAAGGGGUGGAGCCUGCGGCUUAAUUGGAGUCAACGCCGGGAAUCUUACCGGGGGCGACAGCAGGAUGACGGCCAGGCUAACGACCUUGCCCGACACGCUGAGAGGAGGUGCAUGGCCGUCGCCAGCUCGUGCCGUGAGGCGUCCGGUUAAGUCCGGCAACGAGCGAGAUCCCCACCCCCAGUUGCUAUCCCGGUCUCCGGAUCGGGAGUACACUGGGGAGACUGCCGCCGAUAAGGCGGAGGAAGGAGGGGGCCACGGCAGGUCAGCAUGCCCCGAAUCCCCCGGGCUGCACGCGGGCUACAAUGGCGGGGACAGCGGGUGCCGACCCCGAAAGGGGGAGGUAAUCCCUGAAACCCCGCUGUGGUUGGGAUCGAGGGCUGAAAUUCGCCCUCGUGAACGUGGAAUCCCUAGUAACCGUGCGUCAACAUCGCGCGGUGAAUACGUCCCUGCUCCUUGUACACACCGCCCGUCA
RNAcentral lists this ribosomal RNA (587 nucleotides) under uncultured Desulfurococcales archaeon. Its description in RNAcentral is "bacterial SSU rRNA". It matches the Rfam family "Archaeal small subunit ribosomal RNA", at positions 768 to 1355 of the family's 1478-position model. Lineage: Archaea; Thermoproteati; Thermoproteota; Thermoprotei; Desulfurococcales. The record is from RNAcentral.